GCCGGGCGUAGUGGCGCGUGCCUGUAGUCCCAGCUACUCGGGAGUCUGAGGUGGGAGGAUCGCUUGAUCCCAGGAGUUCUGGGCUGUAGUGCACUAUGCCGAUCGGGUGUCCACACUAAGUUUGGCAUCAAUAUGGUGACCUCCCAGGAGUGGGGGACCAGCAGGUUGCCUAAGGAGGGGUGAACCGACCCAGGUCAGAGAUAGAGCAGGUCAAAACUCUUGUGCUGAACAGCAGUGAGAUUGUGCCUGUGAAUAGCCACUGCACUCCAGCCUGGGCAACAUAGCGAGACCCCAUCUCAA
Callithrix jacchus (white-tufted-ear marmoset) is the source of this 300-nucleotide unclassified non-coding RNA. It matches the Rfam family "Metazoan signal recognition particle RNA". From Rfam's summary of the family: The signal recognition particle (SRP) is a universally conserved ribonucleoprotein. The record is from Ensembl. Lineage: Eukaryota; Metazoa; Chordata; Mammalia; Primates; Cebidae.